UACGGAGGAUGCGAGCGUUAUCCGGAUUUAUUGGGUUUAAAGGGUGCGUAGGCGGACGCUUAAGUCAGCGGUAAAAUUGCGGGGCUCAACCUCGUCGAGCCGUUGAAACUGGGUGCCUUGAGUGGGCGAGAAGUACGCGGAAUGCGUGGUGUAGCGGUGAAAUGCAUAGAUAUCACGCAGAACUCCGAUUGCGAAGGCAGCGUACCGGCGCCCAACUGACGCUGAAGCACGAAGGCGUGGGUAUCGAACUGG
Molecule: ribosomal RNA, 252 nt
Filed under: uncultured bacterium
Lineage: Bacteria
Description: partial 16S ribosomal RNA
Rfam family: Bacterial small subunit ribosomal RNA
Source: RNAcentral